UUGAUUAGAGUGUUACCUAUUUGCAGCGGCAUACGCGACGCUGACGUGACGCUGCAGUAACGCGCCCGGUGGAAAUCAGGCUUUAGUCACACACCUCAGUAAAAGGAUUUUGCCAGAAAGAGUAACCUGCUACAAGUAACCCUAGUAGAAUUUUCAAAAUGUAUGAUUUUUUUCUCUGUCUAAAUGUGCUUUGUUUCUAUUGUUGCAGGUCAUACAAUAUUGAAAAUUAUUUUUUCUUUUUAAGGAGCAACAGAAGAAUACAAGCCAAAGAGGAGGCCGUAGCCUGUGAAUGGGAAUAUCAAGACCUAAUAAAAUGUUAUACAAAAUUAAUGUUCUUUUCUAUUAGACUGUAAUAAAGCUUUUGUCACUUUAACAUGUCUCUAAAUUAUAUUUGUGGUGCUGAAAACAUGAAACAGCUACGGAGCCCCAGAGAUGACAUGGGAAAAAAAAUAAAUAAAUAAAUAUUUCGUUCCCACGAAUUAGUAUUUCGUGGCCACGAGAUACUAUUUCGUGGCAGCUGUUUACAGACAGGCUGGAUGACGUGGUUCACAUAGUGGUGAAGAUCGCUGGCUUGAAUAGAUGGAUUAAUGUGAGGAGAUCAUUGCAAAAGUUUUCAAUUUCAUCAGAGUCAGAUGUGCUACAUGUGUUGAUAACUGGACGGAGUUAAUUAUGGACUAUUUCACCGCACCGGUAGGUGAGGAGACGAGAGGAGAGAGAGACAGCGGGACCUCCGGCUAGGACGCUAACGGUCCGGCUAACGUUAGCCAAGAUCAUGACGGAGAGAGUGAGUUGGGGGAAGAUGAGGAGGAAGAUAUUGCGCUCAUGGAUGAGCCGAUGGUAGCAUACAAUGUCUCUGACUGUAGUUAUCUAAACGAGGACAAUGUUAAAGAGACUGUGAUAGCUCGGGAGUACAAGUGGAGCCGCAAGCUUCACAACAGCGGCGCCUGCUAGCUGCUGUUCACCGGAGGAGACGUGAGAAGACGUGACCCAGUUAAAGAGAUGACUGAUGAUGAAAACAUUUGGUCCAUCUUGUGAAGCUCCAUACGACUCUAUGAGAGGAUGCAGUGUGAGAAGCAGCAACACCAGCGGACUGCCUACUUCCUUGAUGCAUGUGACAGUUUAAUUAUGAAAUAAUAAUAAAUAAAUAUGAAAUAAUAUAAAAUAUAUUCUGUAUUAUUAUUAUUAUUAUAUUAAAAGGGUCAUUGUCUGUAUAUAUAUUUUUAAUUUUAUGGAUAUGCACUUGUAAGUAAGUGUAAGUACAUGUGUGCACGUGGCUCGAUAUUUAAUAUUUUAUAAAUAUUCUUUAUAUUGAUAUUUUUUAAUUACUAUUAUAUUUAAAUACCCAUCAAACAUUCUGUAUUACAUCAUAUGUACAGUAUAUUUGUUCAUAUUUCAUCAUUGUUGUAUUCCAUAUGUUUUGGAUACUUGUCUACAUGGGCUUCUAGGCCUGUACUGUGUUGUGUAUGUGCUCGUGCACGAGGUCACGUGCACGUGUAUGUGUGACAGUAUGAAUAGACUACACAGAUGUGGGGUAUCAC
Molecule: long non-coding RNA, 1538 nt
Organism: Centropristis striata (black sea bass)
Lineage: Eukaryota; Metazoa; Chordata; Actinopteri; Perciformes; Serranidae
Exons: 2
Source: RefSeq, a predicted model, not a curated record